CUUGCUCCUUGGGUGACGAGCGGCGGACGGGUGAGUAAUGCCUGGGGAUCUGCCCGAUAGAGGGGGAUAACUACGGGAAACUGUAGCUAAUACCGCAUAACGUCUACGGACCAAAGUGGGGGCUCUUCGGACCUCAUGCUAUCGGAUGAACCCAGGUGGGAUUAGCUAGUUGGUGAGGUAAUGGCUCACCAAGGCGACGAUCUCUAACUGGUUUGAGAGAAUGACCAGUCACACUGGAACUGAGACACGGUCCAGACUCCUACGGGAGGCAGCAGUGGGGAAUAUUGCACAAUGGGCGCAAGCCUGAUGCAGCCAUGCCGCGUGUGUGAAGAAGGCCUUCGGGUUGUAAAGCACUUUCAGCGGGGAGGAAGGGUCACUAGUUAAUACCUAGUGGCAUUGACGUUACUCGCAGAAGAAGCACCGGCUAACUCCGUGCCAGCAGCCGCGGUAAUACGGAGGGUGCAAGCGUUAAUCGGAAUUACUGGGCGUAAAGCGCACGCAGGCGGUUUGUUAAGUCAGAUGUGAAAUCCUCGAGCUCAACUUGGGAACUGCAUUUGAAACUGGCAAGCUAGAGUCUUGUAGAGGGGGG
This 589-nucleotide ribosomal RNA is filed under the name uncultured bacterium. Its description in RNAcentral is "bacterial SSU rRNA". It matches the Rfam family "Bacterial small subunit ribosomal RNA", at positions 75 to 661 of the family's 1533-position model. The record is from RNAcentral.